CUCUUUCUCUCUUUCUCUCUGGAAAAAUCCUAUAAUUUGUUGAUGUGUAAUCGAGUUCAUCUUCUGCAGGAAUCAAUGGAUGGUAUCUGGAACUUCAUAAUAGAUAAGGAUAAUAACAUGGCUGAAGAUGUUAGCUACCAUAACGUGGUUCAUUCGUUUCAAUUCCUUGUCAGAAACUUCUGCAGGGUUACAAGCAAGGAAGUGGUAUAUUAUGUAGCUGCUGCGAUACAGAGAUAACACGCUGAAUGCAGUGACUAAUCUAGGGUUAGUUUAUUGGUGUAUAUAUAUAUUCAAGAUCGGCAGCUUUCUUCUCUCCUACUAUCAUACUUGAGGUUUAUUUUCUUCUCUGUCAAAAAAAAUAUUAUUUAGUUGAUUGUGGAUUCGCCAAUCGUCAUCAAUUUUUAGUUCCAUUCCGAAGUACUCGCUAUCAUCUCCAAGACUUUAGGGGACAAGGAAAAGAUCUUGUAACUGCAAAUGAGUUGUUUAACCAUCGUCACUCUAGCUUACGCAAGAUUGACGUAGUAGAGAGGAUUUUCAGCAUCUUCAAGUCAAGAUUUCUCAUUUUCAAAUAUGCACCACCCUUUCCAUAUAAGACGCAAGUAGAGUUAGUACUUGCUUGUGUUGUUUUACAUAAUUAUCUUCGUCAAGAAUGUCGUUCAGACUUGUUUGAAGAUGUUAGACAUGCAGAAGGAACUGACGCUGAUGAAAGAGUUGAUGAUGGGAAUAAUGAAGAAGAACAGCUUCAUGGUACUCAAGACCAACAAAGAGUGUUUGCUAAUAACUGGAGAGCAACUAUAGCGGAAAACAUGUGGACAGAUGCUAUG
Molecule: long non-coding RNA, 824 nt
Organism: Camelina sativa (false flax)
Lineage: Eukaryota; Viridiplantae; Streptophyta; Magnoliopsida; Brassicales; Brassicaceae
Source: RefSeq, a predicted model, not a curated record